GUGCCAGCAGCCGCGGUAAUACAGAGGGGGCGAGCGUUAUUCGGAAUUAUUGGGCGUAAAGGGCGCGUAGGCGGCUUGACAAGUCCAAGGUGAAAUCCCUCGGCUCAACCGAGGAACUGCCUUGGAAACUGUCUGGCUCGAGGCCGGGAGAGGGUAGUGGAAUUCCCAGUGUAGCGGUGAAAUGCGUAGAUAUUGGGAGGAACACCGGUGGCGAAGGCGGCUACCUGGACCGGAUCUGACGCUGAUGCGCGAAAGCGUGGGGAGCAAACAGGAUUAGAAACCCUUGUAGUCC
This 292-nucleotide ribosomal RNA is filed under the name uncultured bacterium. Its description in RNAcentral is "partial 16S ribosomal RNA". It matches the Rfam family "Bacterial small subunit ribosomal RNA", at positions 505 to 796 of the family's 1533-position model. The record is from RNAcentral.